This 253-nucleotide ribosomal RNA is filed under the name uncultured bacterium. RNAcentral's name for it is "partial 16S ribosomal RNA". It matches the Rfam family "Bacterial small subunit ribosomal RNA", at positions 524 to 776 of the family's 1533-position model. The record is from RNAcentral.
GACAGAGGGUGCAAACGUUGUUCGGAAUUACUGGGCGUAAAGCGCGUGUAGGCGGCAUGGCAAGUCGGGUGUGAAAGCCCUGAGCUCAACUCAGGAAGUGCAUUCGAUACUGCCAAGCUAGAGUCCUGGAGAGGAUGGUGGAACUCUCGGUGUAGAGGUGAAAUUCGUAGAUAUCGAGAAGAACACCGGUGGCGAAGGCGGCCAUCUGGACGGUGACUGACGCUGAGACGCGAAAGCGUGGGGAGCAAACAGG